UACAGAGGGUGCGAGCGUUAAUCGGAAUUACUGGGCGUAAAGCGUGCGUAGACGGUUACGUAAGUCGGGUGUGAAAGCCCCGGGCUCAACCUGGGAAUUGCAUUCGAGACUGCGAAGCUAGGGUGCGGAAGAGGGAAGCGGAAUUUCCGGUGUAGCGGUGAAAUGCGUAGAUAUCGGAAGGAACAUCAGUGGCGAAAGCGGCUUCCUGGUCCAGCACCGACGUUCAGGUACGAAAGCGUGGGGAGCAAACAGG
Molecule: ribosomal RNA, 253 nt
Filed under: uncultured bacterium
Lineage: Bacteria
Description: partial 16S ribosomal RNA
Rfam family: Bacterial small subunit ribosomal RNA
Source: RNAcentral